GAUGAACGCUGGCGGCGUGCCUAAUACAUGCAAGUCGAGCGAACAGACGAGGAGCUUGCUCCUCUGACGUUAGCGGCGGACGGGUGAGUAACACGUGGAUAACCUACCUAUAAGACUGGGAGAACUUCGGGAAACCGGAGCUAAUACCGGAUAAUAUGUUCAACCGCAUGGUUCAAUAGUGAAAGACGGUUUUGCUGUCACUUAUAGAUGGAUCCGCGCCGCAUUAGCUAGUUGGUAAGGUAACGGCUUACCAAGGCAACGAUGCGUAGCCGACCUGAGAGGGUGAUCGGCCACACUGGAACUGAGACACGGUCCAGACUCCUACGGGAGGCAGCAGUAGGGAAUCUUGCGCAAUGGGCGAAAGCCUGACGGAGCAACGCCGCGUGAGUGAUGAAGGUCUUCGGAUCGUAAAACUCUGUUAUUAGGGAAGAACAAAUGUGUAAGUAACUAUGCACGUCUUGACGGUACCUAAUCAGAAAGCCACGGCUAACUACGUG
RNAcentral lists this ribosomal RNA (497 nucleotides) under uncultured bacterium. Its description in RNAcentral is "partial 16S ribosomal RNA". It matches the Rfam family "Bacterial small subunit ribosomal RNA", at positions 28 to 507 of the family's 1533-position model. The record is from RNAcentral.